AUGAAGCCUGUGGCUGUCUCCUUUCUGCUGCUCAAACUACUGCUCUCUCUUGGCCUUGCCGUGGCACCGCCCGUCGCCGGCGAUGAGCACCACUUCAGCUUCUCCGGCUUCUCCAAAGCUAAUCUCACCCUCGACGGUAUGGCCUCGGUCACGCCCGACGGGUUACUUGUGCUCACCAAUGGCACCGCCCUGAGUACGGGCCACGCCUUCUAUCCGACUCCGCUGCGCUUCCACAAUUCGUCCGAUGGGACUGUACAGUCCUUCUCUGUGUCCUUCGUCUUCGCCAUUGCCUCCAUCUACAACGACUACUUGAGCAGCAACGGCAUGGCCAUGUUCAUUGCACCGAGCAAGAAUCUAUCAGCGGCGAUGCCGAUACAGUUCUUGGGUCUUUUCCAGGACAUCAACGACAACCAUAUCGGAAUCGACAUCAACAGCCUCCGCUCCGUACAGUCCCACGAUGCUGGCUUCUACCACGACGAGAAUGGCACCUUCCAGAGCUUGGGUCUCGAUGACCAAAAGCCGAUGCAGCUGUGGGUGGACUACCACAGAGAGAAGAUACAGAUCAACGCCACCAUGGCUCCUCUCGGCAUGGCCAAACCUACAAAGCCAACAGUAUCAGCCAACUACAACCUCUCAAGUGUGCUCACAGAUGUGGCGUACAUCGGCUUCUCAGCUGCACUAGGCAAGAUAAACACGAAGCACUAUGUGCUCGGUUGGAGUUUUGGCUUGAACAGUCCUGCUCCAGCCAUCAAUCUCACCAUGCUGCCAAAACUACCUCCUGGUCCUCAUACCAAGGAUUGA
This 801-nucleotide ribosomal RNA is filed under the name Triticum aestivum (bread wheat). RNAcentral describes it as "partial small subunit ribosomal RNA". The record is from RNAcentral. Lineage: Eukaryota; Viridiplantae; Streptophyta; Magnoliopsida; Poales; Poaceae.